CCUAGGGGUGGCAGCAGUGGGGAAUAUUGGACAAUGGGGGAAACCCUGAUGCAGCGACGCCGCGUGAGUGAAGACGUAUCUCGGUACGUAAAGCUCUAUCAGCAGGGAGGAUAAUGACGGUACCUGACCGAGAAGCCCCGGCUAACUACGUGACAGCAGCCGCGGUAAUACGGAGGGAGCAAGCGUUAUCCGGAUUUACUGGGGGUAAAGGGCGCGUAGACGGCAGCACAAGUCUGGAGUGAAAUCCCGGGGCUUAACCCCGGAACUGCUUUGGAAACUGUGCGGCUGGAGUGCAGUAGGGGUAGGCGGAAUGCAUGGUGUAGCGGUGAAAUGCGUAGAGAUCA
RNAcentral lists this ribosomal RNA (344 nucleotides) under uncultured bacterium. Its description in RNAcentral is "partial 16S ribosomal RNA". It matches the Rfam family "Bacterial small subunit ribosomal RNA", at positions 338 to 699 of the family's 1533-position model. The record is from RNAcentral.